UGCCGAGGUUUUCCUCGAGAGUUAACUGCAGUCGGUUUUGAAGAAACUCGGCAGUUAACUGCCGAAGGAUAU
Molecule: microRNA precursor, 72 nt
Filed under: Medicago truncatula (barrel medic)
Lineage: Eukaryota; Viridiplantae; Streptophyta; Magnoliopsida; Fabales; Fabaceae
Description: MIR2629 microRNA precursor family
Rfam family: MIR2629 microRNA precursor family
Source: Rfam by way of RNAcentral